This 483-nucleotide ribosomal RNA is filed under the name uncultured bacterium. RNAcentral's name for it is "partial 16S ribosomal RNA". It matches the Rfam family "Bacterial small subunit ribosomal RNA", at positions 28 to 507 of the family's 1533-position model. The record is from RNAcentral.
GACGAACGCUGGCGGCGUGCUUAACACAUGCAAGUCGAACGCUGAAGCUCAGCUUUUGUUGGGUGGAUGAGUGGCGAACGGGUGAGUAACACGUGAGUAACCUGCCCCCUUCUUUGGGAUAACGCCCGAAAACGGGUGCUAAUACUGGAUAUUCACUGGUCUUCGCAUGGGGGUUGGUGGAAAGGGUUUUUCUGGUGGGGGAUGGGCUCGCGGCCUAUCAGCUUGUUGGUGGGGUGAUGGCCUACCAAGGCUUUGACGGGUAGCCGGCCUGAGGGGGUGACCGGUCACAUUGGGACUGAGAUACGGUCCAGACUCCUACGGGAGGCAGCAGUGGGGAAUAUUGCACAAUGGGCGCAAGCCUGAUGCAGCGACGCCGCGUGAGGGAUGGAGGCCUUCGGGUUGUGAACCUCUUUCGCUCAUGGUCAAGCCGCAACAAUGGUUGUGGUGAGGGUAGUGGGUAAAGAAGCGCCGGCUAACUACGUG